This 293-nucleotide ribosomal RNA is filed under the name uncultured bacterium. Its description in RNAcentral is "partial 16S ribosomal RNA". It matches the Rfam family "Archaeal small subunit ribosomal RNA", at positions 455 to 747 of the family's 1478-position model. The record is from RNAcentral.
GUGCCAGCAGCCGCGGUAAUACCGGCAGCCCAAGUGAUGGCCGCUGUUAUUGGGCCUAAAGCGUCCGUAGCUGGCCGCACAAGUCCGUCGGGAAAUCCGCCCGCUCAACGGGCGGCCGUCCGGCGGAACCUGUGUGGCUUGGGACCGGGAGGCCUGAGGGGUACGAUCGGGGUAGGAGUGAAAUCCUGUAAUCCCGCUCGGACCACCGAUGGCGAAAGCACUUCGAGAAAACGGAUCCGACAGUGAGGGACGAAAGCCAGGGUCUCCAACCGGAUUAGAAACCCCGGUAGUCC